GAGCUGGUGGCGGAAUUGGCAUACGCGCAAGACUUAAAAUCUUGUCCCUGAAAUCAGGGGUGAGGGUUCGAGUCCCUCUCAGCUCA
This 86-nucleotide transfer RNA is filed under the name Candidatus Woesebacteria bacterium RBG_16_34_12. RNAcentral describes it as "tRNA-Leu". It matches the Rfam family "tRNA". From Rfam's summary of the family: Transfer RNA (tRNA) molecules are approximately 80 nucleotides in length. Their secondary structure includes four short double-helical elements and three loops (D, anti-codon, and T loops). Lineage: Bacteria; Candidatus Woeseibacteriota. The record is from RNAcentral.